CAAUAGCGUAUAUUAAAGUUGUUGCAGUUAAAAAGCUCGUAGUUGGAUUUCUGACUUUCUCGGACUGGUCCGCAGUGUCCCUCUUGUAGGGCCUGUGUGCACCGUGUUGCGAGUAGUCAUCCUUUCAGUAAACCUUAAUGGCAUUAAUUUGUUGUUUUGGCUAGCUGGAAAUGUUACUUUGAAAAAAUUAGAGUGUUUCAAGCAGGCUUAUGGCUUUGAAUACAUUAGCAUGGAAUAACGGAAUAGGACUUUGGUCUUAUUUUGUUGGUUUGUAGGGCCGAAGUAAUGAUUAAUAGGGACAGUUGGGGGCAUUCAUAUUUAAUAGUCAGAGGUGAAAUUCUUGGAUUUAUGAAAGAGGAACUUAUGCGAAAGCAUCUGCCAAAGAUGUUUUCACUAA
This 397-nucleotide ribosomal RNA is filed under the name uncultured eukaryote. Its description in RNAcentral is "partial 18S ribosomal RNA". It matches the Rfam family "Eukaryotic small subunit ribosomal RNA", at positions 592 to 976 of the family's 1831-position model. The record is from RNAcentral.